Molecule: long non-coding RNA, 215 nt
Organism: Pseudopipra pipra
Lineage: Eukaryota; Metazoa; Chordata; Aves; Passeriformes; Pipridae
Exons: 3
Source: RefSeq, a predicted model, not a curated record
AAUCCCACAGGCAGCUGGAGCAGAAUCACCUGUACACGGCCUACACUGGCAUCAUGGCCAAGAGCUGUCACACGGGGGAAGGGGAGGAGGAAGAGAAGGAAGAAGAGGGGAAGGAAGAGGAAGAGGCCGAGGACUCGUUCAAGGAGAAGGAGAUGGAGAAGCAGAAGCUGCUGAACCUGCCCCUGUGACCCCCCCUGUGAUCCCUCAACCCCCAA